This is a small nucleolar RNA of Hibiscus syriacus, 76 nucleotides long. RefSeq annotates it as small nucleolar RNA R12. The transcript has a single exon. Lineage: Eukaryota; Viridiplantae; Streptophyta; Magnoliopsida; Malvales; Malvaceae. The record is from RefSeq and is a predicted model, not a curated record.
AAGAGGAUGAUGAAAAUAUUCAGACGGAUUCCCAUUGAUUAUUCUAUGAGAACAUUACCAGCUACUUCUGACUCUU